CAGUCGCCACGGGAAUACGUAGGGUGCGAGCGUUAAUCGGAAUUACCGGGCGUAAAGCGUGCGCAGGCGGUUGUGUAAGACAGGUGUGAAAUCCCCGGGCUUAACCUGGGAACUGCGCUUGUGACUGCACAGCUAGAGUAUGGCAGAGGGGGGUGGAAUUCCACGUGUAGCAGUGAAAUGCGUAGAGAUGUGGAGGAACACCGAUGGCGAAGGCAGCCCCCUGGGCCAAUACUGACGCUCAUGCACGAAAGCGUGGGGAGCAAACAGGAUUAGAUACCCCUGUAGUCCCUGUCUCUUAUAU
Molecule: ribosomal RNA, 301 nt
Filed under: uncultured bacterium
Lineage: Bacteria
Description: partial 16S ribosomal RNA
Rfam family: Bacterial small subunit ribosomal RNA
Source: RNAcentral